RNAcentral lists this ribosomal RNA (497 nucleotides) under uncultured bacterium. Its description in RNAcentral is "partial 16S ribosomal RNA". It matches the Rfam family "Bacterial small subunit ribosomal RNA", at positions 28 to 507 of the family's 1533-position model. The record is from RNAcentral.
GACGAACGCUGGCGGCGUGCCUAAUACAUGCAAGUAGAACGCUGAAGAGAGGAGCUUGCUCUUCUUGGAUGAGUUGCGAACGGGUGAGUAACGCGUAGGUAACCUGCCUUGUAGCGGGGGAUAACUAUUGGAAACGAUAGCUAAUACCGCAUAACAAUGGAUGACACAUGUCAUUUAUUUGAAAGGGGCAAUUGCUCCACUACAAGAUGGACCUGCGUUGUAUUAGCUAGUAGGUGAGGUAAUGGCUCACCUAGGCGACGAUACAUAGCCGACCUGAGAGGGUGAUCGGCCACACUGGGACGGAGACACGGCCCAGACUCCUACGGGAGGCAGCAGUAGGGAAUCUUCGGCAAUGGGGGCAACCCUGACCGAGCAACGCCGCGGGAGUGAAGAAGGUUUUCGGACCGUAAAGCUCGGUUGUAAGUCAAGAACGGGUGUGAGAGUGGAAAGUUCACACUGUGACGGUAGCUUACCAGAAAGGGACGGCUAACUACGUG